AUGACCAUGUCUCCCCACACUGGGCUGAGCACACUGUCCCAGAAAUUGGGAGGUUGUACGUGUGGAGGGUGUCAUCUUAUUGAUGAAGCCUGAACAUGAAUUACCCUGUCUCAUGUAACAGUGUGUAUGUUGGUAAAGGAAGACAAGUGACCUCAUUCAAAGUCAUCUACAUUCACUUUCACACAUAGAUGUGAUCCUGAGAACAGGACACACACACGCACAAGUGAAAACGUGUAAACAUGUAUAUAAGUACAGAAUUAGACUGGAGAGUACUGCCAUGGUGUUUUCUGUGAUAGUGGCAUAGAUGUUUGUUCCUCUAUGUGGAAGUCAUCUGAGUACAAGUAAAAAGAUUGCUAUAGCCAGGAACUGAAGUCCUCGGGGAAGGCUGGAGGCUGGAGUCCAGGUCCAGGUCCAUCUGUCUGGCUUCAUUCUAAGGCCCUUCUGCCUGAUGAAGUUCACUGGUUCAACAGCAAACCUUCUUAAAGAGAACUCAUUGUUUACCUUUCUCCAAAGCAUCACGGGGCCAUCUCCCCAGCACAGGAGGCAGGAAGGAGAUCCUGUAACAACAGUCUCCCUGGAUGCAGAAGACGAUGAGCAUCAGCAACUCAGGCUUCUGGAAAUGAAGUCCCUUUCCAGGACACAUCAUAGAAGAUCCAGGCCUGCUCCUGUCUGAUGCUCCCCUUGGUCAGUGCUGAGGACAACGGACAGCUGCUUAUAAAUGCUAUGCCUUCUUCUUCGUUCCCCUUUGUGCACCGGGAGCUUUAAUAUUCUAGAAUUCACAUUGGGUGCAGCCUGAGUUGAGUUAUGUGAUCUCAUCAUACAUGUGAAAAUCAGUCUGCUGCAGUUUAAACACUAGACGAGAUAGACCAAACAGAUUGUGCUUUGCCAGCGUGUUUCAUUAUUUGGCCAGGAAUUUUGUAAAGGACUCAUUGCUGUAAUCUACUGAUAUGCAAUUCUAUUUAAACCAGGUUGGUAGACUCAGGAAGAACAUUAAUAAGUUGACUGAUAUGUUCCCUUAUACAGUUCAAGGGCAUUUGAUGAUCCCAAUUUCUGCAACACAGAACAGACUGCUCAUCUCUCCCAAGUCCUGUCCUAUAAAACGCUGUAGAGCACACCAGCCUGAGUUUUAACCUUACCUACCCAAGGGAUGGCAAUUCCUUACACAAGGGUUUAAAACAUCACUCUUUUCUGUUGGUAAGACACAAGGAAUUGCUAUGGUGUUGAAACUUACAACGCUCAACAUAAGUAGACAGCACCUGACAUCUACUGAACAGCCUUGACAACUCUGUUGAAGGAGAGGUAGGGAGAGCACACAUUCACUUAUAGUCAAAGAGAAACUUUGUAUUAUUUUGUUAGAUAAGCCCAGAGCAAUUGAAUGAAAAAAAACAAAGACUUUGCUCUAACAGUAAAGAUAAU
Molecule: long non-coding RNA, 1416 nt
Filed under: Mus spicilegus (steppe mouse)
Lineage: Eukaryota; Metazoa; Chordata; Mammalia; Rodentia; Muridae
Description: lncRNA (ENSMSIG00000028108.1)
Source: RNAcentral